GGGGCUUUGGUGCCAUUUGUAAGGGCACGGCGCCUGUGGAUUCACUCACACCUAAGAGGGCUUGGACUGCAGCCUUUCCCUUCGUGGGGUCAUGCAUGCUCCCCACCGCUGUCACGAAACGACAUGCUUUUCCGAGAUCUUUGUGAGUUUCCUUGGUACAGCAGAAACUGGAAAGAGACCUUUGUUCCUUAUUCCUACUUGUUCUCCUCUAUUCAGGACUCCUUUUUACCACCAAAAAAAAGCGUUUCAGAGUCCAUUUUAGUAAGCUGCUUUGGUGGGUUUCAAAGCUGGGCUUUGAGAAGUGCCUUCCCCUGAUUCUGGGAGGGAGUCUAGGGAAGGAUGUUAGAUUUUGUGGGGAAGGUUGCAUAUUUUUGCCUUCCUUGAGGAGACAGUCAUGUUUGUUUACUUUUGGGUGAAAGGCUAGUUUCUGAUACAGAGCUUUUGUGAUGGAGAUAAAAGAAGCAGAAGAAAAACUGGAAAAUAAACAAUUCAUUAAUGCUUUUGGGGAAAUCUUUAGUCUCAGCUUAAAUUGCACUUUAUGUAGGGAUAGCUCUAUGUCAAACUAUUCUAUGUGCCUUAAAUGACAAAACAGGGAAGACAGAAGAACUAUUUUUAUUCUACCAGCAACUGAGUUCUCUUCAAAAUUCCAUCUCUUAACUGGAUAGAAACAUCAUUAUAUUAUUUUUCUGCAUGUCUGCAUGCCAGGUUUUUUCCCUCUGCAGAGCUGAAGUUAUAAUAGCUUUGCAGUCUUUCACAGCAUAAAAACGAUUCCCUUCGGAAGCCCUCGGAAUUCUUGAAAUCAUCUGAGCAUUAAAGCCCAGCUGUGCUGUCUCUGGGCUCAUUUCCUCGUGCUUGGACUUCUCUGAGGCUGAACAUUCACUUCUGUGUGGAAUUACUUUCUGGGUUGUGAGGGACAGAAAGGUUAGUUCUCUCAUUUUGGUAGGGGAUGUCAUAGACCAGUUUUCUUCAAUACAGUUUUCAGUAAAGGGUAAAAGUAAAUAUUCCUUAUAUGCUUUGAAGAACUGAGUAUGUGGUUUAGACUCUUAGAAAUAAGGGAUUGUUAGUAAAUAAGCAGUGGUUCAUUGGAGCUUUCCAUAAUGGUACUUGUUAACAUAGGCACAGAGUAGUACUUGGAAUUCAUAUUUGCUUUAUAACUUGCUUUCUCUUAAGUGAUUUGGCAAAUACUUGUUUUCCUAAGCCAUAUGCAGGAAUAAAUUUUAUACUUAUGGAAAACUUAGAAAUUAUACUCUCAUAAGCGUGUAUGUGUGAUUUACUUGGGGUACUAGAAAAAAAGUUUUUUUCAUAGGCUACCCCAAAACUCUUACGAAAAUUCUUGCAUCUUCCUUUAACACUUACAGCUAUCGGAAAUACAACCUUGGGCCAAAAUGGAGCAGCAGGUCUACUCUUGGGCUCUUGAUUGAUUGAUUGAUUGAUUUAUUAACUAUUACCAAAAACCCCCAGGGCUUUCAUUUAUGUGCUAAUUCUCUCGGCCACGCUGGCUCUCUAAUCUUUUUCUGCCUUUGGCAACAGCACUUGUGUACUGCUGACUUGUGUGAGUGCUGUCCUCCAAGGAACAGGGAAUGUGUGUGUAUAAAGCAGUCAGUUGAUUUCCAUGACACUUUAUUCUGUGUCAUUGUGGAUGAACUCUUUGCAUUUCCAUGACCUUGCUAUGUCUCUGAACUUUCAGGGACACAGCUUUACUUUAUCCUCAGUGUAACCUGUGUUUCUCUGUGUCACUGCUGUGAUAGCAUUGCACUGGUGAUGUCCUCGGUGUCAUACUCCCAGUGUCUCAACACCCAAACUCCAGACAAAGCUUCCAGAGCUGCCGGGGUGGAGUUGGCAAAGUCCCCCUCAUCUUCAAUGAUUUCUGUAAAAAAAAAAAAUUAGAGUUCUUAUUAACUAAGGAGGUCUUGAGUUAUGUCUUGAGGAUCACUGACUUCAGGAUGCCGGUGAGGACACUGCUGUACAAAGAUUAAAUGGUGAAGGACGCACUGCGGAUCGAUGACAGCUGCUUCUGCCUCCCACCCUGUUCUCAGUCCAUUCAAGAAUAUUGCAACGUUGAGCAAUAAAGCGUAAUCUAG
Grus americana (Whooping crane) is the source of this 2081-nucleotide long non-coding RNA. RefSeq lists it as uncharacterized. The record is from RefSeq and is a predicted model, not a curated record. NCBI's taxonomy places the organism in Eukaryota, Metazoa, Chordata, Aves, Gruiformes, Gruidae. The transcript is spliced from 3 exons.